RNAcentral lists this ribosomal RNA (800 nucleotides) under uncultured bacterium. RNAcentral describes it as "bacterial SSU rRNA". It matches the Rfam family "Bacterial small subunit ribosomal RNA", at positions 8 to 782 of the family's 1533-position model. The record is from RNAcentral.
AGAGUUUGAUCCUGGCUCAGAACGAACGCUAGCGGCGUGCCUAACACAUGCAAGUCGCACGAGAAAUCCCGGGCAACUGGGAGAGUAAAGUGGCGCACGGGUGAGUAGCGCGUGGGUAAUCUACCCUGAAGUUGGGAAUAACACCUCGAAAGGGGUGCUAAUACCGAAUGAUAUCCCCGGGAUUCCGGUCUUGGGGAUCAAAGAUGGCUGAGGCUUGCAAGCUAUUGCUUUAGGAUGAGCCCGCGUACCAUUAGCUAGUUGGUGGGGUAACGGCCCACCAAGGCCAUGAUGGUUAGCUGGUCUGAGAGGAUGGCCAGCCACACUGGAACUGAGAUACGGUCCAGACUCCUACGGGAGGCAGCAGUGAGGAAUCUUGCGCAAUGGGGGAAACCCUGACGCAGCAACGCCGCGUGAGUGAUGAAGGCCUUCGGGUCGUAAAGCUCUGUCAGAUGGGAAGAAAGUUUCGGCGGUGAACAAUCGCCGGGAUUGACGGUACCGUCAGAGGAAGCACCGGCUAACUCCGUGCCAGCAGCCGCGGUAAUACGGAGGGUGCAAGCGUUGUUCGGAAUCAUUGGGCGUAAAGAGCGUGUAGGCGGUCGGGUAAGUCAGAUGUGAAAUCCCUUGGCUUAACCAAGGAAGUGCAUUUGAAACUGCCCGGCUUGAGUACGGGAGGGGGAAGUGGAAUUCCCGGUGUAGAGGUGAAAUUCGUAGAUAUCGGGAGGAACACCGGUGGCGAAGGCGGCUUCCUGGACCGAUACUGACGCUGAGACGCGAAAGCGUGGGGAGCAAACAGGAUUAGA